Molecule: transfer RNA, 59 nt
Filed under: Pseudoalteromonas denitrificans DSM 6059
Lineage: Bacteria; Pseudomonadati; Pseudomonadota; Gammaproteobacteria; Alteromonadales; Pseudoalteromonadaceae
Description: tRNA_Arg_ACG
Rfam family: tRNA
About the family: Transfer RNA (tRNA) molecules are approximately 80 nucleotides in length. Their secondary structure includes four short double-helical elements and three loops (D, anti-codon, and T loops).
Source: RNAcentral
UAGCUCAGCUGGAUAGAGUACCUGGCUACGAACCAGGCGGUCGGAGGUUCGACUCCUCC